Molecule: RNA transcript, 3018 nt
Organism: Nomascus leucogenys (northern white-cheeked gibbon)
Lineage: Eukaryota; Metazoa; Chordata; Mammalia; Primates; Hylobatidae
Gene name: olfactory receptor 7E24-like
Exons: 1
Source: RefSeq, a predicted model, not a curated record
UUACAGGAGUGAGCCACUGUGUCUGGCCGAACUUUCUGAUGACAAUUCUAAGUCCACCUAAGCUAAGGACAAGAGUUAUAGCUUACAUGAAUUUUAAAACCAGACCCACCGAUUUGAGAAAGCAAUUACUCUCUUGAAGGAGAAAAGUCAGAAAACGUAAUGAUGAAAUCACUAGGACCUAACCGGCAUGUGGAACCAUUUUCUGCUUAUGAACUAUCAACUUUCAUUUCAUUUCCAGAUGACAUGGUCUCAGCUGUUACACAGUGUUUACGAAUGUUCUAAAUCAAGGGAAUUUGUAUCUAUCUAGUAGAAUAUAAUGAAAUAUUUGAGUUCUUAAUUUCCUUUAAUUAGGAUAACCUUUUUCUUAAAGUGAAGAGAAUGGUUUUAUUACCUAUUUUUCUUCGGAGAAGAUAGGCUGUAUUUUCUAGCAGUUACGCAUUUGUUAUAUAUGAUGAUCUGGUUCUUGGAACAUUCUUGAAUCUAGUGUCUCUAAGGCAGGUGUGUACAGCAAGAAGUGAAUAACACAGAAAUCAAUGAUGAAAGCAUUAGAAAACAACUGAGUUUGUCAGAACUGCAAAAUAUUGCUGAGUGUGGAUUGCUCUGAAAUCUGAAAACAUUACUUGUGAAUUGCUUCUAUCCAAAAUGCAGACACAAUGCUGGGUGUUGGUUUACUUGUUUCCCAUUUUUCAACCCCCUUUUCUAGGCAAAAGGUGUCCAAACUAUGCAGACCCACAGAAUCUAACAGAUGUCUCUAUAUUCCUCCUCCUAGAACUCUCAGGGGAUCCAGAACUGCAGCCGGUCCUCGCUGGGCUGUUCCUGUCCAUGUGCCUGGUCGCUGUCCUGGGGAACCUGCUCCUCAUCCUGGCCGUCAGCCCUGACUCCCACCUCCACACCCCCAUGUACUUCUUCCUCUCCAACCUGUCCUUGCCUGACAUCGGUUUCACCUCCACCAUGGUCCCCAAGAUGAUCGUGGACAUCCAAUCUCAUGGCAGAGUCAUCUCCUAUGCAGGCUGCCUGACUCAGAUGUCUCUCUUUGCCAUUUUUGGAGGCACGGAAGAGAGACACGCUCCUGAGUGUGAUGGCCUAUGACCGGUUUGUAGCCAUCUGUCACCCUCUAUACCAUUCAGCCAUCAUGAACCCGUGUUUCUGUGGCUUCCUAGUUUUGUUGUCUUUCUUUUUUCUUAGUCUUUUAGACUCCCAGCUGCACAACCUGAUUGCCUUGCUAAUGACCUGCUUCAAGGAUGUGGAAAUUCCUAAUUUCUUCUGUGACCCUUCUCAACUCCCCCAUCUUGCAUGUUGUGACACCUUCACCAAUAACAUAAUCAUGUAUUUCCCUGCCACCACAUUUGGUUUCCUUCCCAUCUCAGAGACCCUUUUCUCUUACUGUAAAAUUGUUUCCUCCAUUCUGAGGGUUUCAUCGUCAGGUGGGAAGUAUAAAGCCUUCUCCACCUAUGGGUCUCACCUGUCAGUUGUUUGCUGAGUUUAUGGAAGAGGCGUUGGAGGGUACCUCAGUUCAGAUGUGUCAUCUUCCCCCAGAAAGGGUGCAGUGGCCUCAGUGAUGUACACGGUGGUCACCCCCAUGCUGAACCCCUUCAUCUACAGCCUGAGAAACAGGGAUAUUAAAGGUGUCCUGCGGCCGCCACAUGGCAGCACAGUCUAAUCUCAAUAUCUUCUUAUCUGUUCCAUUCCUUUUGUAGUGUGGGUUAAAAAAGGCAGCAAGGUCAAAUAAGAAUGAUAACACAGGGUGAACACCCAGUGUGACAUUAGGAGUAAUACCCCCCAGGAUAUAAAAAAUACUGUCACAGAGUAUACACACAAGGGGUACACCCACUGUGAUAUGAGAAGCAAUAUCUCCCUAUAAUAUGAUGAAAAAUAUCACAGUGUCACAGGGUGUGCACACUGUGUGAUCUUAGCAGUAAUAUUUACCCUGGAUAUUCCCACUAAUAUCAAGGGUGUACAUGGUGUACACUGCCUGUGCCAUCAGGAGUAACAUUCUCCUAGGAUAUCACGAAUAAUAUCACAGCAGGUGUACACACAUGGUGCACACCCCAUGUGACAUUAGGAGGAACGUGCCCCUAGGAUAUUAGGAAUAGUAUCACAGGCAUUGAAUACGCAUGAUACACAACCCCUGUGACAUUAAAAGUAACAUCCCCCUAGGAUGCGACGAAUAAUAUCACAGGGAGUACACCCCAUGUGACAUUAGGAGUGACAUCCCCCGAGGAUAUAGCGAAUAAUAUCAGAGGGUGUACAUGCAUUGUGACCUUAAUAGUAACAUCUCUUUAGGAUAUUACAAAUCAUAUCAAAGGGGUACACAGAUUGUGACACUGGUAGUAAUAUCCCACUGGGAUAUGACGAGUAAUAUCACAGGCUGUACACCCCCUGUGACAAUAGUAGUAACAUUCCCCUAGAAUAUGACCAAUAAUAUCACAGGAGGUACAGCCCCUGUGAUUUACGAGUAACAUUUCUAUAGAAUAUUACAGGUGGUAUCACUGUGUGACUCUGUGUACACCCCUUGUGACAUUAGGAGUAACAUCCCACAAAACUAUUAUGAGUAAUAUCACAGGGUGAACACCCCCUGUGACAUGAGGAAUAACGUAGUUUUAGGAUAUUAUGAAUGAUAUGACAAGGUGUACACAUCCUGUGAUGUUAAGAGCAAUAUCCAUCUAGGAUAUUAGGAAUAAUAUCACAGGGAACACACCCCCUGUGACAUUAGGAUAUUACGAAUAAUAUCACAAGGUGUACACGCAUUGUGACAUUAGUACUAAUAUCCCUCUGGUAUACUAUGAAUAAUGUCACAGGGUGUACAUCCCUGUGACUUUAGGAGUAACGUCCCCCUAGAAUAGGACGAACAAUAUCACACAGGGUACACACCCUGUGACUUUAGGAGUAUCACCGCCCUGGAAUAUGAGGAAUACUGUCCCAGGGUAUUAACCCCCUGUGACCUGAGGAGUAACAUCCCACUGGAAUAUUAGGAAUAAUAUCACAGUGUGUACACCAACUAUGAUAAAAAAAUAAAAU